Molecule: ribosomal RNA, 928 nt
Filed under: uncultured delta proteobacterium
Lineage: Bacteria; Deltaproteobacteria
Description: bacterial SSU rRNA
Rfam family: Bacterial small subunit ribosomal RNA
Source: RNAcentral
UGCAAGUCGAACGAGAAAUUCCGAUUCGUCGGGAGAGUAAAGUGGCGCACGGGUGAGUAAGAUGAGGGUAAUCUACCCUUAAAUUAGGGAUAACUCUGCGAAAGCGGAGCUAAUACCUGAUAAGACUACGGUUUGUGAGCAGACUGUAGUAAAAGGUGGCCUCUGAUUUAAGCUGCUGUUUAAGGAUGAGCCCUCAUACUAUUAGCUAGUUGGUGAGGUAAUGGCUCACCAAGGCGACGAUGGUUAGCUGGUCUGAGAGGAUGACCAGCCACACCGGCACUGAGACACGGGCCAGACUCCUACGGGAGGCAGCAGUGAGGAAUAUUGCGCAAUGGGGGAAACCCUGACGCAGUGACGCCGCGUGAGUGACGAAGGCCUUCGGGUUGUAAAGCUCUGUGAGGUGGGAAGAAACGUUCCAGUGUCAAUACCACUGGAAUUUGACGGUACCACCAGAGGAAGCACCGGCUAACUCCGUGCCAGCAGCCGCGGUAAUACGGAGGGUGCAAGCGUUGUUCGGAAUUACUGGGCGUAAAGAGCGUGUAGGCGGUUAAGUAAGUCAGAUGUGAAAUCCCUCGGCUCAACUGAGGAAGUGCAUUUGAAACUAUUUAACUGGAGUACAGGAGGGGAAAGUGGAAUUCCCAGUGUAGAGGUGAAAUUCGCAGAUAUUGGGAGGAACACCAGUGGCGAAGGCGGCUUUCUGGCCUGAUACUGACGCUGAGACGCGAAAGCGUGGGGAGCAAACAGGAUUAGAUACCCUGGUAGUCCACGCCGUAAACGAUGGGCACUAGGUGUAGGAAGUGUUGACCCUUUCUGUGCCGAAGCUAACGCAUUAAGUGCCCCGCCUGGGGAGUACGGUCGCAAGGCUAAAACUCAAAGGAAUUGACGGGGGCCCGCACAAGCGGUGGAGCAUGUGGUUUAAUUCGACGCU